GACGAACGCUGGCGGCGUGCCUAAUACAUGCAAGUCGAACGAAGCUGUUUUAACUGGUGCUUGCACCGACUUAAACAACUGAGUGGCGAACGGGUGAGUAACACGUGGGUAACCUGCCCCAAAGCGGGGGAUAACAUUUGGAAACAGAUGCUAAUACCGCAUAACCACAGAAACCACAUGGUUUCUGUGUCAAAGAUGGUUUCGGCUAUCACUUUGGGAUGGACCCGCGGCGUAUUAGCUAGUUGGUAAGGUAAUGGCCUACCAAGGCAAUGAUACGUAGCCGAACUGAGAGGUUGAUCGGCCACAUUGGGACUGAGACACGGCCCAAACUCCUACGGGAGGCAGCAGUAGGGAAUCUUCCACAAUGGACGAAAGUUUGAUGGAGCAACGCCGCGUGAGUGAAGAAGGUUUUCGGAUCGUAAAACUCUGUUGUCAGAGAAGAACGUGUGCGAGAGUAACUGUUCGUGCAGUGACGGUAUCUGGCCAGAAAGCCACGGCUAACUACGUGCCAGCAGCCGCCGUAA
RNAcentral lists this ribosomal RNA (524 nucleotides) under uncultured bacterium. Its description in RNAcentral is "partial 16S ribosomal RNA". It matches the Rfam family "Bacterial small subunit ribosomal RNA", at positions 28 to 523 of the family's 1533-position model. The record is from RNAcentral.